AAUAGAUACCCUGGUAGUCCACGCCGUAAACGAUGAGUGCUAAGUGUUAGGGGGUUUCCGCCCCUUAGUGCUGCAGCUAACGCAUUAAGCACUCCGCCUGGGGAGUACGGUCGCAAGACUGAAACUCAAAGGAAUUGACGGGGGCCCGCACAAGCGGUGGAGCAUGUGGUUUAAUUCGAAGCAACGCGAAGAAUCUUACCAGGUCUUGACAUCCCGUUGACCACUGUAGAGAUAUAGUUUCCCCUUCGGGGGCAACGGUGACAGGUGGUGCAUGGUUGUCGUCAGCUCGUGUCGUGAGAUGUUGGGUUAAGUCCCGCAACGAGCGCAACCCUUGAUCUUAGUUGCCAUCAUUUAGUUGGGCACCCUAAGGUGACUGCCGGUGACAAACCGGAGGAAGGUGGGGAUGACGUCAAAUCAUCAUGCCCCUUAUGACCUGGGCUACACACGUGCUACAAUGGACGAUACAAACGGUUGCCAACUCGCGAGAGGGAGCUAAUCCGAUAAAGUCGUUCUCAGUUCGGAUUGUAGG
Molecule: ribosomal RNA, 529 nt
Filed under: uncultured bacterium
Lineage: Bacteria
Description: bacterial SSU rRNA
Rfam family: Bacterial small subunit ribosomal RNA
Source: RNAcentral